Molecule: long non-coding RNA, 1460 nt
Organism: Arabidopsis lyrata subsp. lyrata
Lineage: Eukaryota; Viridiplantae; Streptophyta; Magnoliopsida; Brassicales; Brassicaceae
Exons: 3
Source: RefSeq, a predicted model, not a curated record
CGCCAUUUGAACUGUAUAUUUUCUAUAUUAUUGUCGUGUUCGGAUAACGUGUAUAGCAUAUGGCAAUUGGAUGGUGUUUCACAAUAUAUAUACACCCUUUGUUUUGGUCAGUGACCUCAUAAAACACAUAAACGAGCUAACACUCAACCCAACAAAUAUUUAAAUACAUCAACGAAUUCAAAUUAAAAAAAUGUUGCCUUUGACGAGGGUCGACGAUAUUACCCCUUAUGAUAGAAAUCGAAACUUUUGUGUACAGGUUUUAGUUUUUUGGUUCGAAAAUUUUGGCAGACCUAACCAGAAUUUGAAGAUGAUUCUUGCGGAUUUAGAGGUUAAACACUACUUUCACGUUCAACAUUUUAUUUUUAUAGUGAUUUGCCUUACAUACUUUAUGUUUAUCUUAUUCUUAUUAUUUAGGAGACUAAGAUUGAUGAUGCUACUAUUACCGGUGGUCCGUUUGACCAUGUUAAUAUAACUGGCUUGAGGAAAGACACGUGGUACUUUCUAUCUGAUUUUUUGGUUCUGUACUUGCCGGAUUUGAUGAGUAACAUGUCCAAUAUGUUCCGUAUAUGGUUCCAUCGACCAACUAAAAUGACCAGCACGUAUGAGCGGUCACCAUGUAAGUGUAUUGAGCCUGAAAAAUUUAGCCGCAUAAGGGGAUGGAGAAUCAUGACCGAAAUUCCGAUUGGUACGUUUUAUGAUUUCUAUUUUUUAUUUGUUUGGUUCUAAUGAAACAAUGAGAUAGCUAAUAAAUCGAAUACUUUAAACCUAGAUACGGUGGGAUUUAUCGUUUAUAUCGACUGACUUAUACGGAUCCCUUAUGUUUCUGGAUAAUACGAAAGGGAUGGUGGAUGUAACUGUGUCUACUUCAUCUUACAGAAUCAUAGGGGAUUGAAAUUGAGAUGUUGCGCUGUAGGAGAUUUGGCCGACUAUUUUAUGAGAGUAUAGGUAAACCGAGAAUAUGGUCAUUCGUACCUUCGUGAUCCUGUAUUUUGUGUUUUGAGGUUUUGGCAUGUUGAAGAGUAUAAAGAAAAACCAUGUCUCAUGAAUAGAGUUGGAUGCUCUAGAUUUUAUCUUGACCCGGAGUUUGACGAACUUGAGGAGAUCAAAGAACGGUAAUAUUUAGUAUUUAUAAUCAUAUAUUUGUUGGAUAUACGUAAUUCAUACGUGUAAUGACCUAUUAAAUUUAUGUAUGUAGUACACUCUCCACAGCUUAUGCUUGGGCCGCUACGAAUUCAAGAUGUUCCGGUUCAGAUGAUUGAGUGAUCAUGGAAUUUUCUACAAAAAUGAUCGAUGAGUCUUGUGUUGUUAUGGGUUUUAUGGACUGUCUAAAUACUUAUUUUUAGAGACAGUAUGCUUGAUCUUUUGUAAUAUUAUGGUCGAAUUUUAAAAUCUCAUAACUAUGUUCUAUCAUCAAAAUUUAAAUAUUUUUUUGUAAUAAAUUCUUGGCCGCGUAAGGCGCG